GAUGAAGAACGUAGCGAAAUGCGAUAACUAAUGUGAAUUGCAGAAUUCCGUGAAUCAUCGAGUCUUUGAACGCACAUUGCGCCCCCUGGUAUUCCGGGGGGCAUGCCUGUCCGAGCGUCAUUACAACCCUCAAGCCCGGCUUGUGUAAUGGGCGGCCGUCUCUCCCCCCGGGGGGAGACGCCCCCGAAACUCAGUGGGGAUGUCGCGAUACCGAAGCCUCAGCUAAUGGGUAAACCACAGCUGCAAUGGCCGCGGCCGGCGUCCGCCUUCCACGGUCCGUCCGCCUAGCGCGGGCGGCCUUCUCAAGGUUGAACUCGGAUCAGGUAGGGAUACCCGCUGAACUUAAGCAUAUCAAUAAGCGGAGGA
RNAcentral lists this unclassified non-coding RNA (366 nucleotides) under soil metagenome. Its description in RNAcentral is "partial contains 5.8S ribosomal RNA, internal transcribed spacer 2, and large subunit ribosomal RNA". The stretch from base 1 to 120 matches the Rfam family "5.8S ribosomal RNA", at positions 35 to 154 of the family's 154-position model. The record is from RNAcentral.